AACUUUCAGAUCAGACCAGGCCCAUGCUCAAAGCUAUUUCAAAUGCCCAAUUCAACAGUUCAAAAUUACGCAUCAUUCAACAUGUAAUCGACCCCUACUGAACAAGUUUAAUUGUACACAUAUCCACCAAUUACAUAACAGGAGACUACACUAUCAAAAAUACAGGCUGCUUUCAGUUGAAUAACAGGCCCUGGAACAUUUUGUUUCAACUUCAACGAGCAUACAUCAGUGAGAUUCAGGGAAAUGUACCUGGAAAUUGGAAUGUAAAUAGAGAAAAGGAGAGGAAUCAGCUAUUUUCAACAGCAACAGCAACCAACCAAGCAGUGUUACACCACAGGAACACAGGCAGAUUGCUUUGAAACCAAAAUAUAAGAAAAUUCCCACAGAUCAGUUUAACAUACUCCUAACAUACCCCUGACCCUCACAGCUGAAACCAAAACUAGUAAUGAAACUGUGAAGCUGUUUCAGAUUUCUCCAUAUUUUGAUGUUUUUGCUUUCUGAAUAGUUUUUGGAAAAUAAAAUGCUGAUUGAAAUCAAAAGCAAUAAUGAAUGCUCCAAUUGAGACUUAGAGUUCAAGGCAGAAAGAUGGAGAGCAGACCCCCUUUCCCAAGGCAUUUUAUGCCCUUUUAUAGGCAACCCCAAAGAGAAUAGACUAGAAUCGGAUUUACCAUUCAGUCCCUCUCUAUUUUCAAAUUAGUCCCUCUAGUUUUACAUUGCUAAACAAGUAACUACACUAUAAUUAUCAAAAUCUAUACUUGCACCCAUUCUAGAAGGCCCUAAGGUAUUCCUCUACCUAUACAAUACCUAUAUUGCCCUUCCCUAUACCCUGAUAUUACUAUUCCUAUCAAAAUUACCCUUUUCCAUACCCAGAUUACCCCUGAAAGCCUUUCAAAAUCACUGAACCUACCCUCAUCCUUAACAGCUAUACCCAAUAUCCUAAACCAUUCUGAAACUAACUGAAAUUAAUCAACUAACAUUCAGAAACUAGCUAAUCAGACUGACUAAACCAAUUAUGUUCAAUUAACCGACUCGAACAAGCUAAACGAAAAUAAACUGAGCUUAAGCUACCACGAUUAAUAUUAAAUGAACUUAAAACUAAUUCUCAAACCAUGAACUUAUAAUCAUUCAACCAAAUAUCAAGCUCAGAAUCAACAGUAAUUAACAAAACUUAAACUAACACAUUCAAACCAUGAAAUUAACAGAACAAAUAAUGAACAACAACUGUAAAUAAUACUUCAAUCAUGCAAGUAAAAGAAUCAGUAAAAAAAAUACUCACAAAGGCAUAAGGGAUUCCGGCCAGUCAGAAAUACCUGAAUCCGUUCAGAUUUUUGACGCGUAACAUCCCUAACCGUGUGUUCUUACAAGAGAACACAUGGUUAAGGAUACUACGGUUCGAAAUCAAAAGGAUUUGGUUUUAGGGUUUUGGUCGUAAAUUAUUAGAUCUAAGAUUUGGGCCGUUUCAUGGUGAUUUGAAAGAAAACAACCACGGAUUAGUGUUGAGGAAGGUCUGAGGGUUGUGGGGUAUGAUUUUGGACUGAUUUGGACGAACCGGUCACUUGGCCGGAAAACUUCAAACCAAGAUUCGAAGAGUUCCGGCCUUAUUCGAGGUAAACCAAUGGGUGCAGUGGAAAGAGGAGGGUGAGGGGGGCCUGUGGUGUUAAUCUCAGGGUGAACGGCAUAGUUUAUGUUCACCGCCGGCAAGGAUUUUAGGGGCCGCGCAGAUUAGGGUUUGAGGAGAAGGGGUGGGGUGAAGAAGACGAUGCAAAUGGGGGUAGGGGGGAAGGGUUUGGACACUUAAAUACUAAGAACCUCGUCAGUUCCGGACCGUUGGAUUGAUGAGAUCCAACGGUCCUGAUCCAAGGACCCCGAAACGACGUCGUUUCAUUUAAAAGGGGGGCAGACCGGGUAGGGACUUGGGCUGGACUGAAUCGGGAUGCUUGGGGCGUUUGGGCCAACGGAUUAAAUGCAAAAGUGGCCCAAAUUUGGCCGUUAAUAACCACUCCCUCUACAUUCUUUUUAAUAAUAAUUUUUCCAUUUUUCAUUUUGCAAUCUUGUAUUUUUUGUAUUUAUUUUUCUAUGUGAAAUUAAACUAACAAUUAAGCUAAAACCAAUUAAUGCCUAAAAUUAACUUAAUAACUAUUUGCGACCAUUUCACAAUUAAAAUAAUAAAAUGCAAAAGUGAACUAUUUUUGUCAUUUUCUUCAUAUCCUAUUCUAAAACAAAUUAAUCCCUAAUUAAUACUAAAGUAUAAAAUUAAAUCCUAAGUGCGAAUGCAUAUUUUAUGUAUUUUUUGUAUGAGUUAACGUGCACAAAUAAAAAUGAAAUAAUUAUCAGAAAAUGACACCAAAAUGCACAAUAAUGAAGAAAAAUCAUUUUGCUUGAAUUUUGGGAAUAAUUCAUAUAUAGGGCAAAAAUCACGUGCUCACACGUGUAUGUUUGGUUUAGAGCCCCGAGGGCUCGGAUGAGUUUGGAUAGGCCACAGAGUGAUUUUGGACUUAGGGAGAUUGCUGGUAUGUUUCAGCUGUGUAGUAGGCCCCUGAUCUCUCAAUUGCGAGAUCAGGCAUCGCAAUUGCGAUGUAAACAGUGACCGUAAAUGCGAGCUUGUGCUUCGCAAAUGCAAAAAAGGUCAGGGCCAGCUUUUCUCGCAAAUGCGAGAUUUACUUCGCAAAUGUGAAGUUUUCCAGGUAGGCUAGUGGUCGCAAAUGCAACAAAAUUGUCGCAAAUACGAAGGCAUCAGAGAUUGUAAAGGUUCGCAUUUGCGAUGAUUUUCUCGCAAUUGCGAGCUUCGCAAAUGCGAAGCUCCAGUCGCAAUUGCGACAUCUGCAACUGAUCAAAACAUCAUUUGGACGGGAUUUUCACUUCACUUCUCAAUUUUCAAACCCUAAGCCCCCAUAGGCGAUUUUCUUGAAGAGAGUUCUUCCCCAAAUCAGAGGUAAACGAUUUCUAACUCAUUUUCUUCAAUCUAUUUCAUCUUUUUACAUGAUUUCACUUAAAAAUCUAGGAUUUUCAUGGGAAAUUGGGUAAUUUUGGGUAGAAAUUAGGAUUUUAGAAUUUUGCGGAUUUGGAUCUCAAUUUGAGGUUGGAUUUCAAAACUAAUUGAAUAUUUGAGUUCAUGGGUGAUCGGGUUUUGGUUCGAACUUCAGGUUUUGACCAAGCGUGCCCGGGGUCGAUUUUUGACUUUUUGCGAAAAACAUUGGGAAAUCUAUUUUCAUGCAUUAGAAUUGGUUUAUUUAGCAUUUAUUAAUGUUAUUAAGUAAAUUAUGACUAGAUACAAGCGGAUUGGAAGUGGAACCGAGAAAUUGAGGUGAGUGUUUGGUCUAACCUUAGCUUGAGGGAAUAGGAGUUGUGGUCUAAAUUGCUACGUGUUAGUGUUGAAUACAACGUAUAGGCAUGGUGACGAGUAUCUGUACGUUGGUGGCAAGCAUGCCCAUGAGUCUUAUACCAUGAUUGUUGUGACUCUAUUGUGUAUUAUCCAUGCUUAGGUUGAUGAUUAUUAAUGUUGAACAUGAUUCAUGAUAAUUUCUUGGUGAUUAACCAUUGUUGAGUAUUGGGUCAAGUUGAGAUCCAUUUUGUAAAGUAACUGUUGAAAUAAGAUUGGUUAUAGCUGAUUCUUUGAUUCCCUUGAUGGGGCAUAUUGUUUCUAUUGUUUGGGUGAGGGAGAGUGUAAAGCACGAAGGGUGAUAUCGUGCAUGAUAUUGUGAUUGAGUGUUAAUGCACAAAGGGUGAUGUCGUGCCGAUAAUGUGAGUGUAAUGCACGAAGGGUGAUGUCGUACCAUGAUUUGAGUGUAAAUGCACGAAGGGUGAUGUCGUGCCGAUAUUUUGAGAAUUAAUGCACGAACGGUGAUGUCGUGCCAUGAUUAUGAGAGGUAAUGCACGAAGGGUGAUGUCGUGUCGUUUUUGUUGAUUCAUGUGGUGAGAACAAGAGUAAAAGCACGAAGGAUGAUGUCGUGCAUGUGUUACUGUCUCAUUAUUCUUAUUGAUACAAAUAUGAUGUUCAUUAUGCUUCACUAUUGGUUUAUUGUUAGAAUUUGAUAUCCCCCGCAGCAUGUCCCUUUCCCAUCUGUAUUUGUUAAUUUCCUAUUGUUAAUGUUCUGUUCAUAUAUGAUUUAACUGCACAGGUUUAUAUGGUUGUCGUGUUAUAGCCUCAUCACUACUUUGUCGAGGUUAGGCUCGAAACUUACCAGUACAUGGGGUGGGUUGUACUGAUACUACACUCUGCACUCUUUUGUGCAGAUUUCAGUGCCGGACCCGGUGAGUAGCUGAGGUAGAUGCUUUCAGUCCACGGUGACCAAGGUAGAUCUAUUGGCGUACAUAGAGCCUAAAGUCCCCUUCCCUGUUUAGCUUUUCGUUGUCUCUUUUCAUUUCUAGAAUAGCUGUACUUUUCUUUCUAAGCCAGUGUUUGUAGAAAUUCGUAGAUGUUCAUGAAAUUAUGACACUGGAUUCGUGGGUAGACAUGUAUUGGAGUAUUUGAAUUGUUAUAACUCUUUCGAACAUUAUAUCUGCUUAGCUUAAGUUAUUAAUUAUAUUUGUUUGGGUUAAUUAUUAAUGUGUUAUAAUUAUGGUAGUUGGCUUGCCUAGCUUUCACGAGUAGGCGCCAUCACGUCUCCCGAGAGUGAAAAAUCUUGGUCGUGACAGAAGUUCCCCAACACAAGGUUAGGCAAGCCAUUUACCUGGAACUGCUCAAAUCAACCCGAUAUCAUGCUUUUGCCAUAAGUAUCUGACUCUAAAUGGCCCAAAUCUAAUCAAACCAAUUGCAUAAUGUAAAUAUAACUACAAGUAACUAAUUUAACUAAUGAAAUCAAGCUAGGGUAAGAAAAUAGGAAAAACGCCCAAAAAUCCUCCCCGGGCCCAUGUCUCGGAAUCGGGUAAAAGUUACCAAUUUAGAACACCCAUUCAUUCACGAGAUCACUCGUCCAAAAAUUAUUUAAUUCUAACGCUUAAAACCUGAUCAAAACCCAAAAGUUUGAUUGGGGAACUUUUCCCCUCAAAUUCCCAUUUCUUCCACUCAAAUUCCUUGAUUAGAUGGAGAAAAUUACUAUAGAUUGAUGAAAUAUAAACAAAAUAGGAUUAAGAAUCAUUAUCCACUGACUUUCUCUUCAAAACCCUCUCAAAAUCGCCUUCUCCCUAGCUAAAAAUCGAAUUUGGUGUUAUGAAGUUUCAAACCCUCAAAAUCCUCUUUUCUGCCUAGUGAUUUCCGCUUCUGCGGUCACUGGGCCGCAUCUGUGGAAAAAUCAUCGCAAGUGCGAAGGUCACUUAUCCGGGCUGGGGUCGCAUCUGUGGUCAAUGGGCCGCAUCUGCAGUUCCUGAUGCCCAAGCCAAAAGCUGCAUAUGCGGCUUCUUAGCCUCUUCUGCGGCUCCGCACCUGCGGUCCCUCAUCCACAUGUGCGAUUAUAUCAUGUGCAGUAAAUCUUCAGCAAUGCCUAAGUUCUAAACCAGAUCCGUUAAGCAUCCAAAACUCAGUCGAGGCCCCCAAGGCCUCAACCAAAUAUACCAACCAAUCCUAAAACACAAUACGAACUUAGCCGAGCCCUAAAAUCACAUCAAACAGCGCUAAAACCACGAAUAAUCCGCCAAUCCAAACCUACUAAACUUGAAAUUCUAAAAUUCUACAACCGAUGCCGAAACCAACCAAACCAUGUCUGAUUGACCCCAAAUUUUUCACACAAGUCAUAAUCACCACUAUUGACCUAUCCCAACUUCCGGAAUCAGAUUCCAAACCCGAUAUAAAAAAUUUCAGUGUCGGCCCAAAACUCCAAAAAUUCAACUUUCGCCAUUUCAAGCCUAAAUAAUCUAUGAACCUCCACAACACAAUCUGGACACGCCCCUAAGCCCGAAAUCAUCCAACAAAGCUAACGAAAUUAACGAAAUUCCAUUCCAGAUUCGUCUUCAUAUUAUUCCAACUACGAUCCAAAUUCUAUGACGUAAACUCUCAUUUGGGGACUAAGUGUCCCAAAAUACUCUGAAACUCAACAUGAACCAUCCUCGCAAAUCACAAUAGCAGAAAAAGACAUGGGGAAAUUAUUUAACAGGGGAUCGGGGCGUUAAUUCUCAAAAUGAUCGGCCGGGUCGUUAGAGGAACCCUCUUCUCUUUGUAUCUUCUAAGUCUUCUGGGAAGCGUGCGCUUUGUGUGGCUUCUUUUCUGUUAGAGUCAUACCCUAAUUUAGAAUGUGGCUCGGACAAGUUGCAAAGCCGGUGAAGCUUCUAAAUUCCUGGUACGCUGCCCCCCUCGGCUCGAGUUGUCCCUCGGGUAAGCCAGAUCUAGAACAAUACAUCCCAUAACUAGAAUAACAUAGCCUCAUGUCGGAUCUCUAGUAGGACGUUUGUUUGCAUUACCUGCAUUUGAAUUUGGGGACUCAAAACAGGGGUUGGGUCUGUCUAGGAUAGGUGUUUCCAAAUUAAAAAGACCAUUCGGAUGCAUCUUACGUGCUACUUACGCAUUUGCUUGUUUCGGCUUGCAUGUUGAUUGGCUUCUAGAAUAGGAAAGAGAAAUCAAGGAAACCAAGAUUGAGGUAGGAGAGAGAAAAUCACUUGUUUCUAAAAAUCUCAUUAUUCAAAAUAUCUCAAAACUCUGCCAAAUUUUUUUAAAAAAAAAGAGAGAAAAAGUCAUAUCAAAAAAUCAUAUUUUCCUUUUGCGUCAAAACUUACCGAGCUACGUGGGUUUGGUUCUCACCAGGUUUGGGAUACGUAGUCAACCCUCAUUGGGUCUAGCUCGCUUUUGCAACAAUAACCAAAAAUAUGAAAAUGUUGUCAUUGUCGUGAAUAAAGUUAGGUGAUGUCGUUCUUGUCCAAGUAGCUAGAAAUGUCCCGUCCGGACACUGGAAGGCCAUUUUUGCAAGAAUAGUCGCUUAUGGUCCUUUUUCUAGUUUUUGGCCAUUUAGCAAACACAGCCCUAAAAUCUUCCCUUCCAAAGUGCUGAAGGGCCGUAUUUGUAAAUGUAGCCGUGAUUUGUUUUAAAUAAAAAAAAUUCAAAAUAAUCUUUUGUUUGGUCAGUUUUCAAACGGAACUCGCAUGUUUUAACUAGCCACCCUAAUUUAAAUGUGCAGAAUAAGCACCAUUGAGAAUCUACCUUUUUGAGUCGUAGAUGAGAUUCCACUAGGACUCCAUAUGUGGUGGAACGACCUGGGGGAGGUCGGCAAGAGUGUUGUGACAAAGGCUUUAGGUGGACUCAUCGAUCUUCUGAAAAUUAAACCAAGAGUUGAUAUAAUUGUAGCUUUGAUACCUUUUUGGGACCCGACACACAAUGUUUUCCACUUCUCUGAUUUUGAGCUGACCUCUACACUAGAGGAGAUAGCAGGUUAUGAUGGUCUUGACAGGAAUCUCAAACACCAAUAUCUAGUAGCACCAAGAACUAUAAUCUCUCAUAAGUUUUUGGACCUUCUAAGUAUUAGUCGGCAAGUUAAAGAUGAAAAUUUGGCCGGAGGAUUCUACAUAUUCCACUUCUUAUACCGCCAUUAUGGGGACCCCUGUGGAUUUGAGGCUCCGGACACUGGUUUGAGUCAUCAGGGAUAUAAUAACAAAUGGGAAGCACGCAGAGGUUUGGCCUUCAUAGUGGCAUUUUUGGCACUUUGAUAUGCCCAAGGAGUGACAGACAUAUAGAACUGGGGCUUGCAAGAAUGGCUGACUUUAUGGUGAAAAAGGCCAAUGGCACUAUCAUACCGAUGAUUCUCACAUAAAUUUAUUGAGCUUUAACUGUUUGUCGAGCUGGGACAAAGUUUUUUUAGGGUUGCAACUUGCUUUUGCAAAUGUGGCUAGUUGAACAUCUUUGCCAUCGCCCGGGGUAUAUGAACUACUGUCUGACCGGACUUAAUUGCAUUGAAGAAUAUGAAAACCGGGUAAAUGGACAUGAGUUUUCAGAAGGUACUGACGCAUGGUUCAUGUAUUUAGGUUCUUUGACCGCAAACCGAAUUGAGUGGACUUUCGGUUGGCUCCCGGUCAACGAGGCUAUUUACAUGUCUGCCGGAGUGUGCUUUAUUUUGUUGAUGGGUCUUCAGAGUAUUCAGUCGUAUCCUCCGCAUCGGGUCCUAUGCCAAUUGGGCAAAUACAAAACAGUCCCUCAUGAUGAAAAUUUGAGUCCACAGGUUACUGAACUAUGCCCAAAAGAUGCAUUCCCAGAAGAAAAGGUUCGCCUGAUUUGGCACCAAUGUAGAUUUAUGGAGCCACAAACUCAAGUGCGGGAUUUGUCCCCAGGUGAAGUAGAAUCUAACUACACGACCUGGUAUGGUAAAAGGGUUCAAGUCGAUUAAGAGCCAAAACCGCCUGCCAAAAGGCCCCAUGUCCAACAAUUCACUGAUAGAGCGCGAGAACAGUGGGUUGGGUUAGCUAAAGAGAAGGAAUACCGGACUACUAUAAGCAAGCCAGAGAAUCAAAUCAAAAAACUCAAAUUUGAUAAUUAUUUGCAGGCUACUGAGAUGAAGGAGAAAAGAAAAGGUUGGCCCGAGAAAAUGAAGCCCUCUGAGCUCAGAUCUAGAAGAUGAAAAUAACCGCUGAAAACCCGGCAAGAAGUGAAAAAGACGAAAAACUCAUAAGCAAUCUGAGGCGAAAAGUGCAUGAUUAUGGGUUUGAUCUGGCAAAGGCCGAGGAUGAAUUGGAAAAAGCUCGGGCAAAGUUGGCAAAGAAUGCAGAAGAACGGACAAAGUUUGCUCAGCAGUUAAAGUAAAGGUAUGAUGAAAAGCAGUGGCGGACCCAGUAUUUUGUGCAAACGGGUUCAAUCUUAGAAGUACAUAACUUUAGUUGUAAAAUAGUAGUUGUCAAGUGGGUUAAAAUAAAAUAUUUAUACAAAAUUUAUGCAGCUUUAAUCGUAAUUUAUACAUAUACACAGUAUUAUUUUUUGAUGAAGCGAGUUUAGUUGAACCCGCUUGACACCACGUGCGUCCACCACUGAUGAAAGGGUCACAAUUAUAAGGAAAAAACUGACUAAUCUCGAGAAUAAAAUGGUCCAGCAAGCAAAGGAUUUCAAAACCGAGAGAGAGCAUUGUUAUACAUUGAUUUCCCGUUUGAAAAAAGACAUACAACAAUUGCAAGACCAAAACCAUACAGCCUCGUAUGUAUUGGAGGCCCAGUCUCAGCAAAUUGGACGCCUACUCCAAGAAAAGGGUGUCAUUAGAAUGAGGAUUAAAGAAAUUGUUGAUUAUGUCACAAUGAAGUGCCAUGAAUGCGAAGAUAUGACAAGGUCCAUGUUCCUCGCCUCGAUGAUGACCUUUGUCCGUCAGGUGAUGGCUGAUUUAGAGUACCUUCAAGAAGAGAUUGCACGCAGCCCUGCGUCGAGACCGAAUGAUGUCCCGCGGGCCCAUGGAGUAGUAUUGGAGGCUUUUAUGUUUUCCUGAUUUUCUUUUGGUUUUGAAUCUGUAUUUCACCUUUUUGAGUCUGUUAGUCUUUUCCAAGUCUGUUUGUUUGCCUGUUUCGAGUCUGUAUGUUACCUUUAUCGUCAGUAUUUCCGAGUCCUUGUAACAGAAAAACCCAAAAAAAAUUUAUUUAAUGAAAUAUUGGAAAUCCAAAAUUUUAUUUUCUUUUAUUUCGUAUUUAUUCCCUGAACUACGUAAUGAUCUGAUUCAUGUGGUGUCAUGAUACGUAGGCAAUCCCCAUAUGAUACGAUCAUAGCAAUAAAAUUAAAAAAGAAAAAAAAGAAAAGAGAAUUGAAUGAAAAGAAAAAAAAAAGUGGCAAAACAAAAGAACAAAAGAGAGUGCAAAAAAUAAAAUAGUGACACGAACAAAGUGAGAAAAUCAAGAGUGAUUAAAGGUAGGCAUUGUCACACCUCCUUUUUACCUACACCCCGGAAGAGGUAUAAGGGAGUUUUUCCAAUUCAAGUAACAAUCGAAACGGAAUUUAUUUUUAAUAAAAAUCAGAGUCGCCACUUGGGAUAAUUUUAUGGUUUCCCAAGUCACCGGUUCAAAUCCCGAAUCGAGGAAAAGAUUGACUCUGUAUUACAGUCUGCGAACCAGAAAUCCGGGUAAGGAAUUCUGUUAACCCGGGAGAAGGUGUUAGGCAUUCCCGUAUUCCGUGGUUCUAGCACGGUCGCUCACCUAUUAUAAUUGGCCUAAUUAUCUGAUUUUUACACGUUUUAAACCUAUUGUGCAUUUUUUAACUUUUUAGCCGCUUUUUAAGACACAUCGAAGCCACGCUAUAUGAAAUGCACCAGUGGUUCACGACACGUUCAAUUUAACCUUGUUGGAAAUUGAACUCGGGUCACAUGAAAUGUGCACUCGGAUUUGAAGAUUCACGUAUCACGAUCAUGCCACUUCAGGACCAUCGUACAAGAGAGCCUUAUCCAAGACCUCCACUUUCCAUGGAGAAAAAGGUCUUUUGUGCUUUCAAAUUCAUAAAGCUUAUGCAUCCCAUACUUUGAGCCAGCACUAUAACAAGACUGUUGGUAUCCAAUUGCUUCGACAGGAUAGAAAUUCGAGGGAAGUGAAAGACGAGGCAGAACUACAACAAUACCGUCCUUUGUGACCAAAUACAAAAAACCAUGACAACUACAACCUAUAGCUUCGUCAACUAUAGCAUCCCAAACAUGAAUGUUAUAGCAGUUUUCAUCAUUUACAGUCAAGUUUACAUGUAAACUGGAAUGAACAAGUUGACACUUGACAUUUCCCUCAGUAUAUUUCUCUUCACUAGCCGAGUGAGCCCAAAAGGAGAAAAACAAACAACAGCAUCUUCUUUGGAUCCAUCUAUACCAAUGAAAACUUUUCUACUAUGGCAUGAAUGACAUCUACUACCAAAAAUCCUAUUCUUAUUUACAUCUGUAGCAUUAGAUAGGCUACUCCCAUAUGAGCCAUAUUUCCUUAACAUUUUAAAUAUGCUUAGACUAAUUUCUAGCAUUCCAGUUUAAAUAAAAUAACUCAAACAAUGUAUAAUACCAAACAAGUAUAAUAGUAAAAGUUAUAAAUAAAUUAAAAUGGCCAUGAGCUAAUCUUCAUAAUACUAGACAACGAUAAAUUCUCAUUUUAGCAUGGAGUAAAUUAAACUAGACAGAUAUUAUUCGCACACCAAUAAAAAAUAAGAUCUGAGAUAAAAAUGAACAAAGUUGGAAUAUAACCUUAAGCAAAACGACUCGUCUUCCAAUUUAAGAACGAAUUUCAAGUAUGCAUAUGUGCACAAGCCAUGGUUGACCAAGUGCAUUGAACAAAAUUUGAAACAAGGACCGCGAACCGGAAUAAACAACUCGCAGGCGAUCUCAACUUAACCGGAAAGCCUCACUAGCGGCCUCGAUAAGAGCCUAGUCUCAGUAGGGUCGGAGCUGCUGCAUUUUUGCAGCUUUUGGGGUCGUUUUUUGGCUACUUCGAUGGCUGAAAAUGAUUAAUAAAGCAGUGCUUCAAAGCUGGUUUUUACAGCUGAAAAAAUGAUGUUAUAAAGGUGACGUUUCAGUUAUGUAAAAGGUGAUUUUGGGGUGAUUCAAAGCUGAAGUUUAGGGGUGUUUUGAAGCAUUUUAAUGGAGGUUUCUCAAUGGAUUUUUGGAGGAGAAGAACUAGCUUUAAUAGGUUUUAUGACUGUAUUUUUCAUGGUGUUAACACAGUAAGAGUAAAACCAAGUAAAGAAGAAAGGAAAAAGAGAUCUAAUGUUGCUUCCCCUUUUUUUGUUUUUGCUCGUUUUCUAUCCUUUUCAAGAUCUAUUUUUUUCUGUUUUCUUGUGCUC
Molecule: long non-coding RNA, 11629 nt
Filed under: Nicotiana tabacum (common tobacco)
Lineage: Eukaryota; Viridiplantae; Streptophyta; Magnoliopsida; Solanales; Solanaceae
Description: long non-coding RNA (NTAB_LNC010597)
Source: RNAcentral